GACAGUAUAGCUCAGUGGCAGAGUGUGUGCUUAGUGUGCACGUGGUCCUGGGUUCACUCCCUAGUACCUCCA
This 72-nucleotide transfer RNA is filed under the name Camelus bactrianus (Bactrian camel). It matches the Rfam family "tRNA". Rfam says of the family: Transfer RNA (tRNA) molecules are approximately 80 nucleotides in length. Lineage: Eukaryota; Metazoa; Chordata; Mammalia; Artiodactyla; Camelidae. The record is from Rfam by way of RNAcentral. RNAcentral also lists the same sequence under 2 other names.